This 440-nucleotide ribosomal RNA is filed under the name uncultured bacterium. RNAcentral describes it as "partial 16S ribosomal RNA". It matches the Rfam family "Bacterial small subunit ribosomal RNA", at positions 338 to 795 of the family's 1533-position model. The record is from RNAcentral.
CCUACGGGAGGCAGCAGUGGGGAAUAUUGCACAAUGGGGGAAACCCUGAUGCAGCGACGCCGCGUGAGUGAAGAAGUAAUUCGUUACGUAAAGCUCUAUCAGCAGGGAAGAAAAUGACGGUACCUGAGUAAGAAGCCCCGGCUAACUACGGGCCAGCAGCCGCGGUAAUACGUAGGGGUCAAGCGGUAUCCGGAGUUACUGGGUGUAAAGGGAGCGUAGACGGUGCGGCAAGUCAGGGGUGAAAUGCCGCCGCUUAACUGCGGAACUGCUUUGGAAAAUGGCGGACUAGAGUGCGGGAGGGGUAAGCGGAAUUCCUAGUGUAGCGGUGAAAUGCGUAGAUAUUAGGAGGAACACCGGUGGCGAAGGCGGCUUACUGGACCGUAACUGACGUUGAGGCUCGAAAGCGUGGGGAGCAAACAGGAUUAGAUACCCUUGUAGUC